This 29-nucleotide ribosomal RNA is filed under the name Fusarium solani. RNAcentral's name for it is "partial 28S ribosomal RNA". RNAcentral also lists the same sequence under 3 other names. The record is from RNAcentral. Lineage: Eukaryota; Fungi; Ascomycota; Sordariomycetes; Hypocreales; Nectriaceae.
UGUUGACCUCGAAUCAGGUAGGAAUACCC